RNAcentral lists this ribosomal RNA (2155 nucleotides) under Triticum aestivum (bread wheat). RNAcentral describes it as "partial small subunit ribosomal RNA". The record is from RNAcentral. Lineage: Eukaryota; Viridiplantae; Streptophyta; Magnoliopsida; Poales; Poaceae.
CUUGGGUGCACGGCAUGAGGGUGGGUGUGCGAGCCGAGCGCGCGCGCGCGUCUGAGUACCGCCGCUGGAGCGGCCGCGGCUGCUCCCGGCGGCGCCGCGAGUGGGACCGGGGCGUAGCUUCCCAGGUGGUACAGGUGUACGGAAGGCCGGCGGGGACGGGGACGGCGUGAAGACGGAGAGGAGCCGCCGCGUGAGGCGCUACGGCGCGCUUCGGCUGUCAGUUCCCGCACCAGCUGCUGCUGCUCCUGCGAAGGGCCCUCAGGCUGGGACUUUCCUUCCUCCUCCUCCUUCGAUACUGACGCUGACCAUGCGACGGCCCUACCGAGUCCGAACUGUGCCAACCCUACCUAUAGGACUCGUAGCGGCGCGGGCGACACGAGCGCGAGCGGCGGCUGGGGUAGCGACGCGAGCAGCUGUGGCGGAAGCAGCCGGUAUAUCCAAGUUGGCUUGAACGACGGCACCCACAUAGCUAAAGCUAGAAGUUAAACCACAGCUUCAAUAAAUUACAAGGUGACGAAUUGCACUGAUGUAGAAAACAACGACUCGUCGUUCGUCAUCUACUAUCAAUAUCUCCUUGUCCUCUUUUAAGGGUCUAUUAUUCAACUGUCUUCUUUCCUUCAAAGAAGGCCGUCAGUGCUGUAGAAACCGAGAUCGAAGACCAUAACCCAACUACCUUUGACACCGUGAAUAAAAACCUAGACCUUGUAACUACCUAAAGUAGCCAUAUGGUCACCUAAGGGGUCACGCAUAUGGUCGGCUCGUUAAAGAAUGAAAAUCCCGUAUACCACGAGGUGGAUAGUAUCAUCGUGAACGUCGUGUCCCACGUAAAGCACCCAACUACCUAUGUUUCUGUGGAAACAUGCGAUAACCACAACCAUUGGAUCAUUUACGUUAUGAACUACGGUAUAAACAGAAAGGCGAACCAAAUCCUCAUUCUCCACGACGCAACCGCUGACAUUGUAGACUCAUGCACUAUCGAACGUAGGAGGAAACCUUCAACUUAUCAUUUCAUCAUUAGAAGAGUCCUUUCUAGUAACCACCACCUUACUAUGCGAUGGACUUUAGUCCACCUGACGACUAGCCAUCCUGGUAUCGUCACGAGGAGUGGUACUGUGACAGUUGUAGAGAACGACGUUCCCUUCCCGGACAAGGUUACCGACCGGUAGUCAAUACGAACGUUCAUACCAAUUGUUAGAGAAAUGAGUUACUACGUAAUCGAGAACGACCUGUCCGAGACGAACGUUGACUUAUAUGCUUUUCUUUAAUGUUCGUCCGCGCGUACCAAGAGAUGUCUCAAGACGUCUAACCUCCCCACUGACCAUGCCGUGAGCGAUAUUAGAACAAAAAACCCAAACCCAGAAAGAGGAGCGACAAGUGUCUGCUAGGUCGUCAAGACCCAUAACGGUUUAGACCACAGACCAAGCAGCGGUAGAGGGUCGGUUAUUUGCGACAACGAAAACACCAACUACCCGAGAUGAUACCACAUAGACUGAAACGUAUACGACGGAUGAGGUACAAGAAACGUCCUCGGUAUAGUAGCCGAAAGGAUGAACAACGGCGAGGACUUAAACCAGAACCACCGCAGACCCGGCCAGAGUAAGAAAAAUACUCAGACGCUCGUCAACGACCCAACACCUCCAACCCCUCGUUUCCACCUGGGACCUUGAGCUAGAACAGUCUCUGACUGAAUGCGCUGUUUUACACUAUGGGAUCUAUUAUACUACUCUUCUACUUUUCUAUCUUUUUAUUCUGUAUAGAACCAAAAGAAUACGUCAAUGAACCGUUUAUGUACAUGUCUAGGGCACCUUCAACGUUUGAAGUAAAUGACGGUUCCGCAACAGUGAUUUCAACAUCGGCAUCUUCGUGGAGAAUGAAACAACACCGUAAACAACGUUUACGAUGUCCAUCAACUAAACCGACAAAACAUGUGGAAGUCUAUAUGGGAUCUAUUAAUACUUAGGACACUUUACAUCAAGAAUGCAUCUACUACACAUUGGCACCUUCGUAAGAGGUGAACCAACAUCGGUAAUAAUGUUCACGAUGUUUUUCAACCAAAAUCGACAAAACAUGUGGUACACGUUCUUUUUAUAUCAAACGAUCGGGUUGUACACGUACCUCAUAACGUUGAAGAUGACAUUUACUCGAUACAACACGC